GAUGAAGAACGCAGCAAAAUGCGAUAAGUAAUGUGAAUUGCAGAAUUCAGUGAAUCAUCGAAUCUUUGAACGCACAUUGCGCCCGCUGGUAUUCCGGGGGGCAUGCCUGUUCGAGCGUCAUUACAACCCUCAAGCUCUGCUUGGUAUUGGGCCCCGCCAGUUCUGGCGGGCCCUAAAGUCAGUGGCGGUGCCUUCCGGCUCCGAGCGUAGUAAUUCUUCUCGCUCUGGAGACCCGGUUGUGUGCUUGCCAACAACCCCCAAUUUUUUAAGGUUGACCUCGGAUCAGGUAGGGAUACCCGCUGAACUUAAGCAUAUCAAUAAGCGGAGGA
RNAcentral lists this unclassified non-coding RNA (329 nucleotides) under soil metagenome. RNAcentral's name for it is "partial contains 5.8S ribosomal RNA, internal transcribed spacer 2, and large subunit ribosomal RNA". The stretch from base 1 to 120 matches the Rfam family "5.8S ribosomal RNA", at positions 35 to 154 of the family's 154-position model. The record is from RNAcentral.